This 67-nucleotide transfer RNA is filed under the name Balaenoptera edeni (Eden's whale). RNAcentral's name for it is "tRNA-Val". It matches the Rfam family "tRNA". Rfam says of the family: Transfer RNA (tRNA) molecules are approximately 80 nucleotides in length. Lineage: Eukaryota; Metazoa; Chordata; Mammalia; Artiodactyla; Balaenopteridae. RNAcentral also lists the same sequence under 3 other names. The record is from RNAcentral.
CAAGAUAUAGCUUAAAUAAAGCAUCUAGUUUACACCUAGAAGAUUCCACAGUCCGUGUAUAUCUUGA